AGGUCCCUGCCAUACGCGUGAGGAGCCGGAAGUUCCGAGCCAACACCUAGGAAGAGGGAGCUCGGCUCUGGACGCGGACAGCAGGCCCUCGAUGAAACCUGUUGGCGAGAGGGAAGCUGGAAACGUCCAGGAGGGCACCCACCUGCGAGAGCAGGUUCGGGGACUGCGGCGAACACGGUAUGGCGGGGAUCUU
Molecule: non-coding RNA, 193 nt
Filed under: Pseudomonadota bacterium
Lineage: Bacteria; Pseudomonadati; Pseudomonadota
Also listed under: 1 other name
Description: 6S RNA
Rfam family: 6S / SsrS RNA
About the family: E. coli 6S RNA was the first non coding RNA to be sequenced, but its function was unknown until recently. It consists of 184 nucleotides that fold into an extended hairpin structure with a large single-stranded internal bulge. The 6S RNA specifically associates with RNA polymerase holoenzyme containing the sigma70 specificity factor.
Source: RNAcentral